CUACGGGACGCAGCAGCGGGGAAUAUUGGACAAUGGGGGAAACCCUGAUCCAGCAAUGCCGCGUGUGUGAAGAAGGCCUGCGGGUUGUAAAGCACUUUCGGUUGGGAGGACUGCUUCUUGCACUAAUAUUGUUGGAAGUUGACGUUACCUUCAGAAGAAGCACCGGCUAACUCCGUGCCAGCAGCCGCGGUAAUACGGAGGGUGCAAGCGUUAAUCGGAAUUACUGGGCGUAAAGCGCGCGUAGGCGGCUAGAUCAGUCGGGUGUGAAAGCCCCGGGCUUAACCUGGGAACUGCAUCCGAUACUGUCUAGCUUGAGUACAGGAGAGGAGAGUGGAAUUCCACAUGUAGCGGUGAAAUGCGUAGAUAUGUGGAGGAACACCAAUGGCGAAGGCAGCUCUCUGGCCUGAUACUGACGCUGAGGUGCGAAAGCGUGGGGAGCAAAUAGGAUUAGAUACCCUCGUAGUC
RNAcentral lists this ribosomal RNA (465 nucleotides) under uncultured bacterium. RNAcentral describes it as "partial 16S ribosomal RNA". It matches the Rfam family "Bacterial small subunit ribosomal RNA", at positions 339 to 795 of the family's 1533-position model. The record is from RNAcentral.